AAGGCUAGACAUGGGCCGGACCGGGCUGGAAACAGUCCUUCCCUUCUGGGGCCGGUUCACAGGUGGCGCAUGGUUGUCGUCAGCUCGUGUCGUGAGAUGUUGGGUUAAGUCCCGCAACGAGCGCAACCCUCGUUCUAUGUUGCCAGCGCGUGAUGGCGGGGACUCAUAGGAGACUGCCGGGGUCAACUCGGAGGAAGGUGGGGAUGACGUAGUA
This 214-nucleotide unclassified non-coding RNA is filed under the name uncultured Micrococcaceae bacterium. Its description in RNAcentral is "contains 16S-23S intergenic spacer region". It matches the Rfam family "Bacterial small subunit ribosomal RNA", at positions 978 to 1191 of the family's 1533-position model. The record is from RNAcentral. Lineage: Bacteria; Bacillati; Actinomycetota; Actinomycetes; Micrococcales; Micrococcaceae.